UUUCGGUCCUUUCGUGACGAUUAACUGUAAAUCCCGCCAGGCCCGGAAGGGAGCAACGGUAGCGGGGACAUUGGGUGCGAAGGAGUGCUGAUUCAG
This 96-nucleotide signal recognition particle RNA is filed under the name Gammaproteobacteria bacterium. Its description in RNAcentral is "signal recognition particle sRNA small type". It matches the Rfam family "Bacterial small signal recognition particle RNA". Rfam says of the family: The signal recognition particle (SRP) is a universally conserved ribonucleoprotein involved in the co-translational targeting of proteins to membranes. Archaeal SRP consists of a 7S RNA and homologues of the eukaryotic SRP19 and SRP54 proteins. Lineage: Bacteria; Pseudomonadati; Pseudomonadota; Gammaproteobacteria. The record is from RNAcentral.